This 602-nucleotide ribosomal RNA is filed under the name Salmonella enterica subsp. enterica serovar Tennessee. Its description in RNAcentral is "bacterial LSU rRNA". It matches the Rfam family "Bacterial large subunit ribosomal RNA", at positions 593 to 1196 of the family's 2925-position model. Lineage: Bacteria; Pseudomonadati; Pseudomonadota; Gammaproteobacteria; Enterobacterales; Enterobacteriaceae. The record is from RNAcentral.
GUGACUGCGUACCUUUUGUAUAAUGGGUCAGCGACUUAUAUUCUGUAGCAAGGUUAACCGAAUAGGGGAGCCGGAGGGAAACCGAGUCUUAAUUGGGCGUUAAGUUGCAGGGUAUAGACCCGAAACCCGGUGAUCUAGCCAUGGGCAGGUUGAAGGUUGGGUAACACUAACUGGAGGACCGAACCGACUAAUGUUGAAAAAUUAGCGGAUGACCUGUGGCUGGGGGUGAAAGGCCAAUCAAACCGGGAGAUAGCUGGUUCUCCCCGAAAGCUAUUUAGGUAGCGCCUCGUGAAUUCAUCUCCGGGGGUAGAGCACUGUUUCGGCUAGGGGGCCAUCCCGGCUUACCAACCCGAUGCAAACUGCGAAUACCGGAGAAUGUUAUCACGGGAGACACACGGCGGGUGCUAACGUCCGUCGUGAAGAGGGAAACAACCCAGACCGCCAGCUAAGGUCCCAAAGUCAUGGUUAAGUGGGAAACGAUGUGGGAAGGCCCAGACAGCCAGGAUGUUGGCUUAGAAGCAGCCAUCAUUUAAAGAAAGCGUAAUAGCUCACUGGUCGAGUCGGCCUGCGCGGAAGAUGUAACGGGGCUAAACCAUGCACCG